RNAcentral lists this ribosomal RNA (274 nucleotides) under uncultured bacterium. RNAcentral's name for it is "partial 16S ribosomal RNA". It matches the Rfam family "Bacterial small subunit ribosomal RNA", at positions 523 to 796 of the family's 1533-position model. The record is from RNAcentral.
AUACGUACCCUACGAACGUUAUUCGGAAUCACUGGGCUUAAAGGGUGCGUAGGCGGCGUGGUCAGUUGGGUGUGAAAUCCCUCGGCUCAACCGAGGAACUGCGCCCAAUACUGCCACACUCGAGGGAGACAGAGGUAAGCGGAACUGAUGGUGGAGCGGUGAAAUGCGUUGAUAUCAUCAGGAACACCAGUGGCGAAAGCGGCUUACUGGGUCUCUUCUGACGCUGAGGCACGAAAGCUAGGGUAGCGAACGGGAUUAGAUACCCCAGUAGUCC